Molecule: ribosomal RNA, 899 nt
Filed under: uncultured bacterium
Lineage: Bacteria
Description: bacterial SSU rRNA
Rfam family: Bacterial small subunit ribosomal RNA
Source: RNAcentral
GUUUGAUCCUGGCUCAGGACGAACGCUGGCGGCGUGCUUAACACAUGCAAGUCGAACGAUGAAGCACCAGCUUGCUGGUGUGGAUUAGUGGCGAACGGGUGAGUAACACGUGAGUAACCUGCCCCCUACUCUGGGAUAAGCCUGGGAAACUGGGUCUAAUACUGGAUAUGACCAAUCACUGCAUGGUGUGUUGGUGGAAAGAUUUUUUGGUGGGGGAUGGACUCGCGGCCUAUCAGCUUGUUGGUGGGGUAAUGGCCUACCAAGGCGACGACGGGUAGCCGGCCUGAGAGGGCGACCGGCCACACUGGGACUGAGACACGGCCCAGACUCCUACGGGAGGCAGCAGUGGGGAAUAUUGCACAAUGGGCGAAAGCCUGAUGCAGCAACGCCGCGUGAGGGAUGACGGCCUUCGGGUUGUAAACCUCUUUCACCAGGGACGAAGCUAACGUGACGGUACCUGGAGAAGAAGCACCGGCUAACUACGUGCCAGCAGCCGCGGUAAUACGUAGGGUGCGAGCGUUGUCCGGAAUUAUUGGGCGUAAAGAGCUUGUAGGCGGUUUGUCGCGUCUGCUGUGAAAGACCGGGGCUUAACUCCGGUUCUGCAGUGGGUACGGGCAGACUAGAGUAUGGUAGGGGAGACUGGAAUUCCUGGUGUAGCGGUGAAAUGCGCAGAUAUCAGGAGGAACACCGAUGGCGAAGGCAGGUCUCUGGGCCAUUACUGACGCUGAGAAGCGAAAGCAUGGGGAGCGAACAGGAUUAGAUACCCUGGUAGUCCAUGCCGUAAACGUUGGGCGCUAGGUGUGGGGCUCAUUCCACGAGUUCCGUGCCGCAGCUAACGCAUUAAGCGCCCCGCCUGGGGAGUACGGCCGCAAGGCUAAAACUCAAAGGAAUUGACGGGG